CAGCCGCCACGGUAAUACGAGGGGUGCAAGCGUUAUUCGGAUUGAUUGGGCGUAAAGGGCUCGCAGGCGGUUUCUUAAGUCUGAUGUGAAAGCCCCCGGCUCAACCGGGGAGGGUCAUUGGAAACUGGGAAACUUGAGUGCAGAAGAGGAGAGUGGAAUUCCACGUGUAACGGUGAAAUGCGUAGAGAUGUGGAGGAACACCAGUGGCGAAGGCGACUCUCUGGUCUGUAACUGACGCUGAGGAGCGAAAGCGUGGGGAGCGAACAGGAUUAGAUACCCCGGUAGUCCCUGUCUCUUAUAC
Molecule: ribosomal RNA, 301 nt
Filed under: uncultured bacterium
Lineage: Bacteria
Description: partial 16S ribosomal RNA
Rfam family: Bacterial small subunit ribosomal RNA
Source: RNAcentral